This 465-nucleotide ribosomal RNA is filed under the name uncultured bacterium. RNAcentral's name for it is "partial 16S ribosomal RNA". It matches the Rfam family "Bacterial small subunit ribosomal RNA", at positions 28 to 507 of the family's 1533-position model. The record is from RNAcentral.
GACGAACGCUGGCCGCGUGCUUAACACAUGCAAGUCGAACGGAAAGGCCCUGUUUGCCGGGUACUCGAAUGGCGAACGGGUAAGUAACACUUGGGUGAUCUGCCCUGCACCUGGGGAAAAGCCUGGGAAACUGGGUCUAAUACCGGAAAGGAGCCAUGGUCUGUUGUACGGUUGGAAGGAUUUUUGGGUUGAGGAUGAGCUCGCGGCCUAUCAUGUUGUUGGUGGGGGAAUGGCCUACCAAGGCGGCGACGGGUAGCCGGCCUGAGAGGGUGGACGGCCGCAUUGAGGGUGAGAAACGACCGAGACUCCUCCGGGAGGAAGCAGUGGGGGAUAUUGCACGAUGGGGGGAGGAACGAUGCAGCGACGCCGCGUGGGGGAUGACGGACGUUGGGUUGUAAAAUCGUUUCGCUAGCAACGAAGAAUUUAGUGACGGUACCUAGAUAAGAAGCACCGGCUAAAUACGUG